AGUGAACGCUGGCGGUAGGCCUAACACAUGCAAGUCGAACGGCAGCACAGUAAGAGCUUGCUCUUACGGGUGGCGAGUGGCGGACGGGUGAGGAAUACAUCGGCAUCUACUUUUUCGUGGGGGAUAACGUAGGGAAACUUACGCUAAUACAGCAUACGACCUACGGGUGAAAGCAGGAGAUCUUCGGACCUUGCGCGAUUGAAUGAGCCGAUGUCGGAUUAGCUAGUUGGCGGGGUAAAGGCACACCAAGGCGACGAUCCGUAGCUGGUCUGAGAGGAUGAUCAGCCACACUGGAACUGAGACACGGUCCAGACUCCUACGGGAGGCAGCAGUGGGGAAUAUUGGACAAUGGGCGCAAGCCUGAUCCAGCCAUGCCGCGUGAGUGAAGAAGGCCUUCGGGUUGUAAAGCCCUUUUAUUGGGAAAGAAAAGCAGCAGGUUAAUACCCCGCUGUUCUGACGGUACCCAAAGAAUAAGCACCGGCUAACUUCGUG
Molecule: ribosomal RNA, 492 nt
Filed under: uncultured bacterium
Lineage: Bacteria
Description: partial 16S ribosomal RNA
Rfam family: Bacterial small subunit ribosomal RNA
Source: RNAcentral